AGAGUUUGAUCAUGGCUCAGGACGAACGCUGGCGGCGCGCUUAACACAUGCAAGUCGAGCGAGAACCAGGCCUUCGGGCUUGGGGAAAGCGGCGAACGGGUGAGUAACACGUGGGUAACCCACCCUUGGUACCGGGAUAGCCCGGGGAAACCCGGAUUAAUACCGGAUGGCCCAACAGCUCUUCGGGGCGGUUGGAAAAGGUAGCUUCGGCCUCCGACCAAGGACGGGCCCGCGGCGGAUUAGCUUGUUGGUGAGGUAACGGCCCACCAAGGCGACGAUCCGUAGCUGGUCUGAGAGGACGAUCAGCCACACUGGGACUGAGACACGGCCCAGACUCCUACGGGAGGCAGCAGUGGGGAAUCUUGCGCAAUGGGCGAAAGCCUGACGCAGCGACGCCGCGUGGGGGAAGAAGGCUUUCGGGUUGUAAACCCCUUUCAGGAGGGACGAAGCCACUCGGGUUAAUAGCCCAGAGGGUGACGGUACCUCCAGAAGAAGCCCCGGCUAACUACGUGCCAGCAGCCGCGGUAAUACGUAGGGGGCAAGCGUUGUCCGGAUUUAUUGGGCGUAAAGAGCGUGUAGGCGGUUUGGUAGGUCCGCUGUGAAAACUCGAGGCUCAACCUCGAGACGCCGGUGGAAACCAUCAGGCUAGAGUCCGGAAGAGGAGAGUGGAAUUCCUGGUGUAGCGGUGAAAUGCGCAGAUAUCAGGAAGAACACCCGUGGCUAAGGCGGCUCUCUAGUACGGUACUGACGCUGAGACGCGAAAGCGUGGGGAGCGAACAGGAUUAGAUACCCCCGUAGUCC
This 801-nucleotide ribosomal RNA is filed under the name uncultured bacterium. RNAcentral's name for it is "bacterial SSU rRNA". It matches the Rfam family "Bacterial small subunit ribosomal RNA", at positions 8 to 796 of the family's 1533-position model. The record is from RNAcentral.